UGAGCAAUCUGCCCUUCUCAUCGGAAUAAGCGUUGGAAACGACGUCUAAUGCCGAAUACGACCUCCUUUCGCAUGAUCGGAGGUGGAAAGCUCCGGCGGAGAAGGAUGA
This 109-nucleotide ribosomal RNA is filed under the name uncultured bacterium. RNAcentral's name for it is "partial 16S ribosomal RNA". It matches the Rfam family "Bacterial small subunit ribosomal RNA", at positions 118 to 228 of the family's 1533-position model. The record is from RNAcentral.